Molecule: transfer RNA, 76 nt
Filed under: Erwinia phage pEa_SNUABM_8
Lineage: Duplodnaviria; Heunggongvirae; Uroviricota; Caudoviricetes; Chimalliviridae
Also listed under: 1 other name
Description: tRNA-Asn
Rfam family: tRNA
About the family: Transfer RNA (tRNA) molecules are approximately 80 nucleotides in length. Their secondary structure includes four short double-helical elements and three loops (D, anti-codon, and T loops).
Source: RNAcentral
GAUUCCAUAGCUCAGUUGGUAGAGCGGCGUCCCGUUAAGUCGUAGGUCCCAGGUUCGAGCCCUGGUGGAAUCGCCA